CUCAGCAGAGCAGAGCAGGCCCCAGCCCCAAGAGCAAGUCCUCGGGCAAAAGAGGUGAAGAUUCUGGCAUUUGUGAGUUUGGCCGGUGUGUGCUACGGUGGCAGGCCCUCAGGCAUACAGGCAGGAGGAGGAGAGUGUCCCUACAGCAGGCAGAAGAUCUCCGACCCUGAAAGCCAAAGGAGACGUAGUGAGCGUUACCAGAAAGAAGGCAGCAUGGAGAGUGAGUUUAGGAGAAUCUGAAAUCUGUGAUGUUCUCCUUCCAUUCCGACCACAAUUCAAGGACGUGGUCCUUGUUCCCAGUGGAGGACAUAGACGGCCAAUGUCAACCCACACAACACUCCCCCCCCCACCCCAGAAAGUGAACCCAGGGUUAUGCCUGACUGCUGACUUGAUGACUAUCAUUCUAGAACAUUCUUUCCCUCUCAAGAAAGCACAAGGGAAGACCAGUGAGUGAGAGAGAUGUUAUUACAGGGAUACCCUUGAAUGUAGUCUAAUUUCUUGAAGCAGAUGAUUUGACAUUUGUGUAUCUUAUCGUUAAUAACAAAUUUUGUGCGAGGCCACUCACAGCUGAUGGGGACGCAUUCAUUGAGAACCGCUAUUCUGUAUGCCACCAAAAAGAAAUGUUUGCUUUCUUUUUGCAUCCAGGGCAGCAAACUUCCUGGAAAUGGUCUGUGUGCAUGCCUGGCUAACUUUCCAUCCGUUGAUCAAUAAAUCAAUCAACAAAUAUUGAUCAAGUGUC
Felis catus (domestic cat) is the source of this 739-nucleotide long non-coding RNA. RefSeq lists it as uncharacterized. Lineage: Eukaryota; Metazoa; Chordata; Mammalia; Carnivora; Felidae. The record is from RefSeq and is a predicted model, not a curated record. The transcript has 2 exons.